This 568-nucleotide ribosomal RNA is filed under the name Propontonia pellucida. RNAcentral describes it as "partial 16S ribosomal RNA". It matches the Rfam family "Bacterial large subunit ribosomal RNA", at positions 1808 to 2645 of the family's 2925-position model. Lineage: Eukaryota; Metazoa; Arthropoda; Malacostraca; Decapoda; Palaemonidae. The record is from RNAcentral.
UUAAAAAACAUGUCUGUGUGAAAUUAAUUUACAGUCUGGCCUGCCCACUGAGGUAUUAAAGGGCCGCGGUAAUUUGACCGUGCAAAGGUAGCAUAAUCAUUAGUCUUUUAAUAGGAGGCUGGAAUGAAAGGUCGGAUGAGGGGUGUACUGUCUUCUAUAUAAAAGUAUAAUUUAACUUUUAAGUGAGAAGGCUUAAAUAACUUAAAGGGACGAUAAGACCCUAUAAAACUUUAUAUUUUAGGGUUGAACUUUUGAUGACUAUGUUUAUUCGGGGGCAUAACAAAGUAUUUUGUUGGGGCGACAAUGAUAAAAAAAGGUAACUGUCAGUAGUUAUUAAAUACGUAUAAUUAGAAUCUGAUCCUACAAUGUAGAUUAUAAGAUUAAGUUACUUUAGGGAUAACAGCGUGAUUUUCUUUGAGAGUUCAUAUCGACAAGAGUAGUUGCGACCUCGAUGUUGAAUUAAAAUAUCCAAGUGGUGCAGGUGUUACUUAGGUAGGUCUGUUCGACCUUUAAAAUUUUACAUGAUUUGAGUUCAAACCGGUGUAAGCCAGGUUGUUUUUCUAUCUAU